AUGUUAAGCCAAUUGUGCAUCACAACUUCAAUGCAACUUCUCCUUGAAUUCAAACAAUCACAACUUCACCUUGAAUUCAAACAAUCACAACUUCACCAUUCCAUCAUAAAUCUAGCCUAUGCCACAUUUCUUCAACAUCACCAUGUCAAAAUAACAUUCCUACAACUUAUACUCCUUCUCUUAAUUCAAGUUUUAUUGCCUAAACAUUACCACAAACACCUUAUGUGCAUUAGUUUCCUUCAACAAGAAUUAAUGCUCAAUUCCACAAAUUCUAUGUCCAAUUCUUAA
Molecule: non-coding RNA, 288 nt
Organism: Vicia faba (fava bean)
Lineage: Eukaryota; Viridiplantae; Streptophyta; Magnoliopsida; Fabales; Fabaceae
Source: the annotation of a GenBank genome assembly